Venturia canescens is the source of this 1521-nucleotide long non-coding RNA. RefSeq lists it as uncharacterized. The transcript has 2 exons. NCBI's taxonomy places the organism in Eukaryota, Metazoa, Arthropoda, Insecta, Hymenoptera, Ichneumonidae. The record is from RefSeq and is a predicted model, not a curated record.
CGUACUUCGACGGAUGAGACUCUCGAACCAGCCGGUUUUGAUAGAUCAUAAAUCACCUGGUCGGAUUGAAAAACGUUCGAAAAAUGUAUGAAAAUUAGAAUCAUCUCCGAGGAGUGCUAUCUUCGGACUGUAGAUAUUUUUGCACGAUUUGAAAGCGUGUCGUGGUCGUUGAUCUCUCCAGUUCAUCUAUCGAAAAUUCAAAGAAGGAAGUCGAAUUGGCGAAUCGUUUUUACGGCUGAUGGCAAGCAGACGCUAAGUCGAAUACGGAAUUGCUGGGCGCUCCCACAAACACUUUUAGAUUUAGCAAUAUUCACGAAACACAGAAAUCUUUCGUUAUGAAAUCUUGGGAAUACUGAAAGUAAAACUUCAAUAGGUUUCGAGGAUUCAAACACGAACAAGGAAAAGGAAGCAUCAAUCCAUGACUCGACAGUGAGCGCGACCUGCGUCUUUCGCUGCUCGUGUCUUCAUUCAUUCGAUCCCGCGGUGCUCGACGUCGAACAGUCUUUAUGCCGACUUAUAAAUGACUCCAAAUAAGUGAGCGAUUCGUCAAAGCCUCCGAACCUUCGACGCACUUGAGAGCCUCCUAAUGAGCUCAGCCACGAUUCCGUUACUCACCAUUGUAAACGCGUUCUCCGAAACAACAAAUCGUUCGUGACGGAGAAACCAUGAAAUUAAAAGCUACUGGGGACGCAGUAUUCGUUUAAAAACAACUGUAGUAAUCAUAGCGAGGAGAAAGCAACUCAGAACUUUGACAAAGACAUGGAGGGUGAAAGUCAGUUUUUAAAAUUAGAAUUCUGAGGAUUCGAUAAAUAUAGGAAGCUUCCGAGGAAAUAAGUCGGCACGGAAAUUCAUGCAGGAGGAAGGCGCAAGAACAAUGACGUCUUGCGUUGUUACUGAAUAGAAUUAUUUGUCUGAAUUUGAAUUGGAUUCUCAAUCGAGUAUAAACAUUUGGAAAAGUUACCUUUUCAUCUUCAGCUUUACGUAUGGAAGUCCUGAUCGAUCCACUAUUGUGAAUAGCAAUCGCUGCGUCAGUCCAGCCAUCGUAUUCGACGUAUUGUUUUGCAUUCUGCGAAUGAAAUAUUCAUGAAAAAUUUAAUCGCUACGCUAACCAGUUAGAUAAUUAUGCGUAAAGAAUGAAUUAAAAAUAGUGUUUUUCCGAUCGAGUUUACAUGGAUUCUUGGCAAUCGGGCACUCACGUAAUCGAUCAUUGCAUCGGUUAUGAGAUUUCCGAGGUUGCAUUCCUUUCUUCUACAACUUUUACCGUCACCGUCGAGGAAAACUUUAGUUGAACCAACCACGGUGUUUAUCAUGUCGUUGACCGCGGGUCGCCACUUUUCUAAUUCUUCCAGAACAUCCUCUGCCUGUUACAAUCCAUCAGUUUCGUUCAAAUUUUUGAAAUGUGCAACGAGUUCGAAGGUCCCCGGGCAACGGUUAAAAAAUUAUUAAAACCUUCCAAAAUUACUUUCAACGUGAAUCAAAUGCUAAAAAUAAAAAUUCAAAAAAUCCACAGUAUUUCCAUGA